UCCGAGUUGUCCCCGGCAGUCCUCUUAGAGUCCCCGGCAUUACCCGCUGGCAACUAAGAGCAGGGGUUGCGCUCGUUGCGGCACUUAAGCCAACACCUCACGGCACGAGCUGACGACAGCCAUGCAGCACCUGUGCUAGCCCCUUACGGACACGGGCUUUCACCCGCUUUAACUAGCAUGUCAAGCCUAGGUAAGGUGGGGAUGACGUGCUGGAAGCAAGCU
RNAcentral lists this unclassified non-coding RNA (222 nucleotides) under uncultured Actinomycetes bacterium. RNAcentral's name for it is "uncultured actinobacterium contains 16S-23S intergenic spacer region". The record is from RNAcentral. Lineage: Bacteria; Bacillati; Actinomycetota; Actinomycetes.